This 253-nucleotide ribosomal RNA is filed under the name uncultured bacterium. RNAcentral's name for it is "partial 16S ribosomal RNA". It matches the Rfam family "Bacterial small subunit ribosomal RNA", at positions 524 to 776 of the family's 1533-position model. The record is from RNAcentral.
GACAGAGGAGGCAAGCGUUGGUCGGAAUCAUUGGGCUUAAAGCGCGCGUAGGCGGCCUUGUAAGUGUCUUGUGAAAUCCCACGGCUCACCCGUGGAACUGCAGGGCAAACUGCAAGACUUGAGGUCGGUAGAGGCGCCUGGAACUCUAGGUGGAGCGGUGAAAUGCGUAGAGAUCUAGGGGAACGCCGGAGGCGAAAGCGGGGCGCUGGGCCGAUGCUGACGCUGAUGCGCGAAAGAGUGGGGAGCAAACAGG